CCUACGGGAGGCAGCAGUGGGGGAUAUUGCACAAUGUGGGGAACCCUGAUGCAGCGACGCCGCGUGGGUGAAGGAGUGCUUCGGCAUGUAAAGCCCUAUCGGCCGGGAAGAAGCAAGACGGUACCUGACUAAGAAGCCCCGGCUAACUACGUGCCAGCAGCCGCGGGAAUACGUAGGGGGCGAGCGUUAUACGGAUUCACUGGGUGUAACGGGAGCGUAGACGGGCAAGCAAGCCCGGUGGGAAAGCCCGGGGCCAAACCCCGGUACUGCCGUUGGAACUGCAUGGCUGGAGUGCGAGAGGGGGAGGCGGAAUUCGUGGUGUAGCGGUGAAAUGCGUAGAUAUCAGGAGGAACGCCGGCGGCGAAGGCGGCAUACUGGAGCGCGACUGACGCUGAGGCUCGAAAGCGUGGGGAGCGAACAGGAUUAGAUACCCGAGUAGUC
RNAcentral lists this ribosomal RNA (441 nucleotides) under uncultured bacterium. RNAcentral's name for it is "partial 16S ribosomal RNA". It matches the Rfam family "Bacterial small subunit ribosomal RNA", at positions 338 to 795 of the family's 1533-position model. The record is from RNAcentral.